Molecule: small nuclear RNA, 102 nt
Filed under: Propithecus coquereli (Coquerel's sifaka)
Lineage: Eukaryota; Metazoa; Chordata; Mammalia; Primates; Indriidae
Source: RNAcentral
GUGUUUGCUUCGGCAGCACAUAUACUAAAAUUAAAAUAGUGCAGAGAAGAUUAGCCCAUGUGAAAAUAUGAUGUGCAAAUUCUUGAAACAUCCCAUAUUUUG